AUACUUACCUGUCAAGGGAGAUACCAUGAUCUCGAACGUGGGUUUCCCAGGAUGAGGCUCACCCGUUGCACUCCCGAUGUGCUGACCCUCUGCGAUUUCCCCACAUGAGGGAAACUCGACUGCGUCGGAUGUGGUAAUGGGGGACUGCGUUCNNN
This 155-nucleotide small nuclear RNA is filed under the name Echinops telfairi (small Madagascar hedgehog). Its description in RNAcentral is "U1 spliceosomal RNA (ENSETEG00000021956.1)". It matches the Rfam family "U1 spliceosomal RNA". Rfam says of the family: U1 is a small nuclear RNA (snRNA) component of the spliceosome (involved in pre-mRNA splicing). Lineage: Eukaryota; Metazoa; Chordata; Mammalia; Afrosoricida; Tenrecidae. The record is from RNAcentral.